RNAcentral lists this long non-coding RNA (1148 nucleotides) under Homo sapiens (human). RNAcentral's name for it is "non-protein coding lnc-SELENOW-1:1". The record is from RNAcentral. Lineage: Eukaryota; Metazoa; Chordata; Mammalia; Primates; Hominidae.
CCAGGCAGAGGUUUGAGUUUUUGUUGAGGGCUCUGGGAGUCACAGAAGAUAGCUCUAUUUGUGGGUCAUUCACUUUUUGCCCAGCCCUGUGUUGCUUUACAUGCACUUGCUCAUUAAAUCCUCCCAAGAUCAGGGGGAUCAGACUGAGGUGGGUGGAGUCGACUUGAACUUUGCUUAGGGUUCUAAGAGGUAAAGACUAGGGGAUCUGGGGACAGGGAAAUCCCAGAUAGAGUUAACCUUUUUUUUUUUUUUUUUUUUUUUUUGAUACAGUCUCGCUCUGUCGCCCAGGCUGGAGCGCAGUGGUGCAAUCUCAGCUCACUGCCUUCUGUCUCCUGGGUUCAAGUGAUUCUCCUGCCUCAGCCUCCCAAGUAGCUGGGAUUACAGGCGUGCACCACCACAUUGGGAUAAUUUUUGUAUUUUUAGUAGAGACAGGGUUUCACCAUGAUGGCCAGGCUGGUCUUGAACUCCUGAGCUCAGGUGAUCUGCCUGCCUCGGCCUCCCAAAGUGCUGGGAUUACAGGUGUGAGCCACCUCAUCAGGCUGAGUUUAUUGAGUUAUCCCCGUGUGCCAGUCAGAGCUCUAGUUCUUCCUACCUGUAUAAACUCGCUUACUGCUCACAUCAACCAUCUAAUGGAAGUGCUGUUUUCAUGUUGUUUCCUGCCCUUUGUCUCUACCUGCCAGAUCACUCCCAUGAAGGAAGGGACUUUGUUUAUUUAUUCAUUGCUGUAUCCCUGGAAACUGGGACUGCAGGUGGUUAUGAAGUACCUAUUUGUUAAAUGAGUGAACAUUUCCUGUAGGCAAUUACACCCAACUUCCAAAUGGAGAAACAGGCUCAGAGAUAAGCCCCUGCACCCUCACUCCUCAACUCAACUGCCUGUUUCUAGCACUUUCCAUGACGAUCCCCUCUGCACGGAGAGGGUUCAUGGGGAGUGACUAUUGUUCUGUAAUGAAUGACCAGGCUGUGCCAGGUCCGGCAGUAGGCCUUUUCCUUUUCCUUUUUUUUUUUUUUUUGAGAUGGAGUUGAGUUUUGCUCUUGUCGCCCAAACAGGAGUGCAAUGGCGUGAUCUUGGCUCACUGCAACCUGUACCUCCUGGGUUCAAGUGAUUCUCCUGCCUCAGCCUCCCGAAGAGCUGGGACUACAGGCAUGCG